UGGUCAAGUUAUUAAGGGUGCAGGGCGGAUGCCUUGGCACUAGGAGCCGAUGAAGGACGUGAUAAGCUGCGAUAAGCUUCGGGGAGUUGCACGUAAACUUUGAUCCGAAGAUUUCCGAAUGAGGAAACUCACUUAGAGUAAUGUCUAAGUAUCAUUAAGUGAAUACAUAGUUUAAUGAGGGGAACUCAGGGAACUGAAACAUCUAAGUACCUGAAGGAAGAGAAAGAAAUUCGAUUCCGUAAGUAGCGGCGAGCGAACGCGGAUUAGCCCAAACCAAUAAAGUUUUCUUUAUUGGGGUUGAGGACAUACCACAUAUAAGAGGUCAUUAUAGACGAAGAAGUUUGGAAAAACUCAUCAUAGAAGGUAAUAAUCCUGUAGUCAAAAUAAUAAUUCUUUAGGUAUGAUCCAGAGUACCACGGGACACGUGAAACCCUGUGGGAAGCAGGAGGGACCACCCUCCAAGGCUAAAUACUACCUAGUGACCGAUAGCGUAUAGUACCGUGAGGGAAAGGUGAAAAGAACCCCGGGAGGGGGAGUGAAAUAGAACCUGAAACCCUGCACUUACAAGCUGUGGAAGCACAUUUCUUGUGUGACCGCGUACUUUUUGUAGAACGGGCCAACGAGUUACGUUAAGUAGCAAGGUUAAGCACUUAAGGUGCGGAGCCGUAGCGAAAGCGAGUUUUAACUGAGCGUUCAGUUACUUGACGUAGACCCGAAACCGGGCGACCUACCCAUGAGCAGGAUGAAGCGAAAGUAAAAUUUCGUGGAGGUCCGAACCCACGAGCGUUGAAAAGCUCGGGGAUGACUUGUGGGUAGCGGUGAAAUUCCAAUCGAGCCCGGAGAUAGCUGGUUCUCCCCGAAAUAGCUUUAGGGCUAGCCUCAAGGUGAGAGAUACGGAGGUAGAGCACUGAAUGUCCUAGGGGGUAUUGCACCUACCGAAGACUAUCAAACUCCGAAUGCCGUCAUCUUAUACUUGGGAGUCAGACUGUGGGUGAUAAGAUUCAUAGUCGAAAGGGCAACAGCCCAGAUCGUCAGCUAAGGUCCCUAAAUGUAAGUUAAGUGGUAAAGGAUGUGGGAUUGCACAGACAACCAGGAUGUUGGCUUAGAAGCAGCCACUCAUUCAAAGAGUGCGUAAUAGCUCACUGGUCGAGUGAUCCUGCGCCGAAGAUUUCCGGGGCUAAAACUUACUACCGAAGCUACGGCAUCAGUAAUGAUGGGUAGGGGAGCUUCCCAUACGGGUUGAAGCAUGACCGUAAGGACAUGUGGACAGUAUGGGAGUGAGAAUGUUGGCAUGAGUAGCGAGAUGUGGGUGAGAAUCCCACAGGCCGUAAACCCAAGGUUUCCAGGGGGAAGGUUCGUCCGCCCUGGGUUAGUCGGGACCUAAGCUGAGGCCGAAAGGCGUAGGUGAUGGACAACAGGUUGAUAUUCCUGUACUACCGAUAACCGUUUGAGAGAAGGGAUGACACAGUAGGAUAAGCUAAGCACACUGUUGGUUAUGUGUGCCCAAGCAUUGAGGCAGUCAAAGUAGGCAAAUCCGCUUUGAUAAUGCUGGGAUGUGAUGGGGAGCGAAAUUUAGUAGCGAAGUAGCUGAUUUCACACUGUCAAGAAAAGUCUCUAUCGAGGUUAAAGGUACCCGUACCGCAAACCGACACAGGUGGGUGAGGAGAGUAUCCUAAGGCCAGCGAGAGAACUGUUGUUAAGGAACUCGGCAAAAUGACCCCGUAACUUAGGGAUAAGGGGUGCCACCAUCAGGUGGCCGCAGAGAAUAGGCCCAAGCGACUGUUUACCAAAAACAUAGGUUUCUGCUAAGUCGCAAGACGAUGUAUAGGAGCUGACGCCUGCCCGGUGCUGGAAGGUUAAGGGGAUCUGUUAGAGCAAUCGAAGCAGUGAACUUAAGCCCCAGUAAACGGCGGCCGUAACUAUAACGGUCCUAAGGUAGCGAAAUUCCUUGUCGGGUAAGUUCCGACCCGCACGAAAGGCGUAACGAUUUGGGCACUGUCUCAACAACAGACUCGGUGAAAUUGUAAUUCCGGUGAAGAUGCCGGAUACCUGCGACAGGACGGAAAGACCCCAUGGAGCUUUACUGUAGCUUGACAUUGGGUCUUGGUACUACAUGUACAGGAUAGGUGGGAGGCUUUGAAACCAGGACGCCAGUUUUGGCGGAGCCAUCCUUGGGAUACCACCCUUGUAGUACUGGGACUCUAACCAUAGGCCAUGAAUCUGGUCUUGGGACACUGUCAGGUGGGCAGUUUGACUGGGGCGGUCGCCUCCCAAAAGGUAACGGAGGCGCUCAAAGGUUCUCUCAGUACGGUCGGAAAUCGUACGUAGAGUGUAAAGGCAAAAGAGAGCUUGAUUGCAAGACAUACAGGUCGAGCAAGGAUGAAAAUCGGACUUAGUGAUCCGGUGGUUCUGCGUGGAAGGGCCAUCGCUCAACGGAUAAAAGCUACCCUGGGGAUAACAGGCUUAUCUCCCCCAAGAGUCCACAUCGACGGGGAGGUUUGGCACCUCGAUGUCGGCUCAUCACAUCCUGGGGCUGUAGUAGGUCCCAAGGGUUGGGCUGUUCGCCCAUUAAAGUGGUACGCGAGCUGGGUUCAGAACGUCGUGAGACAGUUCGGUCCCUAUCCGUCGCAGGCGUAGGAAAUUUGAGAAGACCUGUCCUUAGUACGAGAGGACCGGGAUGGACGUACCUCUGGUGUACCAGUUGUCCUGCCAAGGGCAUGGCUGGGUAGCUAUGUACGGAAUGGAUAAGCGCUGAAAGCAUCUAAGCGCGAAGCCAACUUCAAGAUAAGAUUUCCCACCGCAAGGGUAAGACCCCAGAAAGACUAUCUGGUUGAUAGGUCGAAGGUGUAAGUGCAGCAAUGUAUUUAGCUUAUCGAUACUAAUAGGUCGAGGACUUGACCAAU
This 2903-nucleotide ribosomal RNA is filed under the name Clostridioides difficile. Its description in RNAcentral is "23S ribosomal RNA". It matches the Rfam family "Bacterial large subunit ribosomal RNA". The record is from RNAcentral. Lineage: Bacteria; Bacillati; Bacillota; Clostridia; Peptostreptococcales; Peptostreptococcaceae.